GAUGAACGCUGGCGGCGUGCUUAACACAUGCAAGUCGAACGGAAAGGCCCAAGCUUGCUUGGGUACUCGAGUGGCGAACGGGUGAGUAACACGUGGGUGAUCUGCCCUGCACUUCGGGAUAAGCCUGGGAAACUGGGUCUAAUACCGGAUAGGUCCACAUUUUGGAUGGUGUGGUGGAAAGUUUUUCGGUGUGGGAUGAGCUCGCGGCCUAUCAGCUUGUUGGUGGGGUAAUGGCCUACCAAGGCGUCGACGGGUAGCCGGCCCGAGAGGGUGUACGGCCACAUUGGGACUGAGAUACGGCCCAGACUCCUACGGGAGGCAGCAGUGGGGAAUAUUGCACAAUGGGCGCAAGCCUGAUGCAGCGACGCCGCGUGGGGGAUGACGGCCUUCGGGUUGUAAACUCCUUUCGCUAGGGACGAAGCGCAAGUGACGGUACCUGGAGAAGAAGCACCGGCUAACUACGUG
RNAcentral lists this ribosomal RNA (465 nucleotides) under uncultured bacterium. RNAcentral describes it as "partial 16S ribosomal RNA". It matches the Rfam family "Bacterial small subunit ribosomal RNA", at positions 28 to 507 of the family's 1533-position model. The record is from RNAcentral.